RNAcentral lists this ribosomal RNA (254 nucleotides) under uncultured bacterium. RNAcentral describes it as "partial 16S ribosomal RNA". It matches the Rfam family "Bacterial small subunit ribosomal RNA", at positions 524 to 777 of the family's 1533-position model. The record is from RNAcentral.
UACGAAGGUCCCAAGCGUUAUCCGGAUUUAUUGGGUUUAAAGGGUGCGUAGGCGGGUUAUUAAGUCAGUGGUGAAAGCCUUCAGCUUAACUGAAGAAUUGCCAUUGAUACUGAUGAUCUUGAGUAUGAUUGAGGUUGGCGGAAUGUGUCAUGUAGCGGUGAAAUGCUUAGAUAUGACACAGAACACCGAUUGCGAAGGCAGCUAACUAAGUCAUAACUGACGCUGAUGCACGAAAGCGUGGGGAGCAAACAGGA